Coccinella septempunctata (seven-spotted ladybird) is the source of this 647-nucleotide long non-coding RNA. RefSeq lists it as uncharacterized. NCBI's taxonomy places the organism in Eukaryota, Metazoa, Arthropoda, Insecta, Coleoptera, Coccinellidae. The record is from RefSeq and is a predicted model, not a curated record. The transcript has 4 exons.
UCAUGAUUGGACAAAACCAAACGACGCAUUGCAGUUAUCCUCAUAGCGUGCCCAAGCCUGAGUGAAUUUUUGGUGAAGAAAAGAUGGUGAAUAGAAAAUAAUCAGAUUUUGUGAUAAGGAAGCAGGGAUAUUUCAUAAGUUUGCCCCCUUGGUGUUGUGAGUGUAGUGCUAUGAUGGUGAAAUGCUAGAAGAAGAGAUUCAUUUUGGGCCAUACAUACAUGGGCCUUCGCUGCCAGCACUUAAGGAAUGACAGAAAGGUCUUAGAGCACAGUCUUGUCCUUUAAGGACAGGGCUGCUAAGGGAUCUCCUGGAAGUCAUUCCCAACUUUAGCCUCAGCAUGACAGAAGUUGGUGGCAAAAGUCUAAACAACAUAAGUUAUAAGUAGCAGCAGUAAAUUUGAAUUCCCAUAUUGAUCAGAAUCGAGACUCGAUUCUUGAUUGAAGUGUAGUGAGUGUAGUGUUUCCUGGGACUUCGCUGUCAGCAUUUAUGGAAUGACGGAAAGGUCUUAGAGCACAGUCUUGUCCUUUGUGGACAGGGCUGCUAAGGGAUCUCCUGGAAGUCAUUCCCAACUUUAGCCAUCGAUGGACCAGGAGCGUUAAAGCAAAAUGUAAAGGUUCAAAGUGAGUCGUUUCGAUUUAUCAGCUGGC